Molecule: ribosomal RNA, 636 nt
Filed under: Cyphellophora olivacea
Lineage: Eukaryota; Fungi; Ascomycota; Eurotiomycetes; Chaetothyriales; Cyphellophoraceae
Description: eukaryotic LSU rRNA
Rfam family: 5.8S ribosomal RNA (bases 232-384)
Source: RNAcentral
GUCUACGCCGUCGACUAGGUGCUCCACGCGCCCGACCUCCAACCCUUUGUCUACCUGACCUUAAUGUUGCUUCGGCAGGCCCGCUGAAACUCCUCCGCCUCACUUAACCGUGGGCGGGGAGGUGACUGCCGCCGGGGGUCUCACGACCCCGGGCCCGUGCCUGUCGACGGCCCAUAACCAAAACUCUUGUUUAAAAACGUGUCGUCUGAGUACUUAAUUUAAUCAAAUUAAAACUUUCAACAACGGAUCUCUUGGUUCUGGCAUCGAUGAAGAACGCAGCGAAAUGCGAUAAGUAAUGCGAAUUGCAGAAUCCGUGAGUCAUCGAAUCUUUGAACGCACAUUGCGCCCUCUGGUAUUCCGGAGGGCAUGCCUGUUCGAGCGUCAUUAUCACCCCUCAAGCCCGGCUUGUUGUUGGACGCGGCGGCCCCUCCGUUUAGUUACGGUUCCGCCCGUCUCAAAGAUAAUGACGGCGUCUGUGAGGACUCCUGUACACUGAGCUUUCGGGCACGUACUAGGCUAGACACUCCAGACCGCCGGUCGUCGUCCCCCUCAAAAGGGACAAUUAUAACCCCACAAGGUUGACCUCGGAUCAGGUAGGAAUACCCGCUGAACUUAAGCAUAUCAAUAAGCGGAGGA